UCCCUGAUGGACGGGGAAGUCUUCUUUGUGU
RNAcentral lists this non-coding RNA (31 nucleotides) under Homo sapiens (human). Lineage: Eukaryota; Metazoa; Chordata; Mammalia; Primates; Hominidae. The record is from RNAcentral.